Molecule: ribosomal RNA, 120 nt
Filed under: Betta splendens (Siamese fighting fish)
Lineage: Eukaryota; Metazoa; Chordata; Actinopteri; Anabantiformes; Osphronemidae
Source: RNAcentral
GCUUACGGCCAUACCACCCUGAGCACACCCGAUCUCGUCUGAUCUCGGAAGCUAAUCAGGGUCGGGCCCUGGUUAGUACUUGGAUGGGAGACCGCCUGGGAAUACCAGGUGCUGUAAGCU